UACGUAGGGGGCGAGCGUUGUCCGGAAUUAUUGGGCGUAAAGCGCGCGCAGGCGGUCUUUUAAGUCUGAUGUGAAAGCCCCCGGUUCAACCGGGGAGGGUCAUUGGAAACUGGGAGACUUGAGUGCGGAAGAGGAGAGUGGAAUUCCACGUGUAGCAGUGAAAUGCGUAGAUAUGUGGAGGAACACCAGUGGCGAAGGCGACUCUCUGGUCUGUAACUGACGCUGAGGCGCGAAAGCGUGGGGAGCAAACAGG
RNAcentral lists this unclassified non-coding RNA (253 nucleotides) under uncultured Bacillaceae bacterium. Its description in RNAcentral is "contains 16S-23S intergenic spacer region". It matches the Rfam family "Bacterial small subunit ribosomal RNA", at positions 524 to 776 of the family's 1533-position model. Lineage: Bacteria; Bacillati; Bacillota; Bacilli; Caryophanales; Bacillaceae. The record is from RNAcentral.